RNAcentral lists this ribosomal RNA (483 nucleotides) under uncultured bacterium. RNAcentral's name for it is "partial 16S ribosomal RNA". It matches the Rfam family "Bacterial small subunit ribosomal RNA", at positions 28 to 523 of the family's 1533-position model. The record is from RNAcentral.
GACGAACGCUGGCGGCGUGCUUAACACAUGCAAGUCGAACGAUGAAGCCGGAGCUUGCUCCGGUGGAUUAGUGGCGAACGGGUGAGUAACACGUGAGCAAUCUGCCCUUGACUCUGGGAUAACUGCGGGAAACUGUAGCUAAUACCGGAUACGACACCUUGGGGCAUCCCAGGGUGUGGAAAGAAUUUCGGUCAAGGAUGAGCUCGCGGCCUAUCAGCUAGUUGGUGAGGUAAUGGCUCACCAAGGCGACGACGGGUAGCCGGCCUGAGAGGGUGACCGGCCACACGGGAACUGAGACACGGUCCAGACUCCUACGGGAGGCAGGAGUGGGGAAUAUUGCACAAUGGGCGAAAGCCUGAUGCAGCAACGCCGCGUGAGGGAUGAAGGCCUUCGGGUUGUAAACCUCUUUUAGCAGGGAAGAAGCGAAAGUGACGGUACCUGCAGAAAAAGCACCGGCUAACUACGUGCCAGCCGCCGCGGUAA